GAUGAAGCCGCUUCGGUGGUGGAUUAGUGGCGAACGGGUGAGUAACACGUGGGCAAUCUGCCCUUCACUCUGGGACAAGCCCUGGAAACGGGGUCUAAUACCGGAUAAUACUCCUGCCUGCAUGGGUGGGGGUUGAAAGCUCCGGCGGUGAAGGAUGAGCCCGCGGCCUAUCAGCUUGUUGGUGGGGUAAUGGCCUACCAAGGCGACGACGGGUAGCCGGCCUGAGAGGGCGACCGGCCACACUGGGACUGAGACACGGCCCAGACUCCUACGGGAGGCAGCAGUGGGGAAUAUUGCACAAUGGGCGAAAGCCUGAUGCAGCGACGCCGCGUGAGGGAUGACGGCCUUCGGGUUGUAAACCUCUUUCAGCAGGGAAGAAGCGCAAGUGACGGUACCUGCAGAAGAAGCGCCGGCUAACUACGUGCCAGCAGCCGCGGUAAUACGUAGGGCGCAAGCGUUGUCCGGAAUUAUUGGGCGUAAAGAGCUCGUAGGCGGCUUGUCACGUCGGAUGUGAAAGCCCGGGGCUUAACCCCGGGUCUGCAUUCGAUACGGGCUAGCUAGAGUGUGGUAGGGGAGAUCGGAAUUCCUGGUGUAGCGGUGAAAUGCGCAGAUAUCAGGAGGAACACCGGUGGCGAAGGCGGAUCUCUGGGCCAUUACUGACGCUGAGGAGCGAAAGCGUGGGGAGCGAACAGGAUUAGAUACCCUGGUAGUCCACGCCGUAAACGUUGGGAACUAGGUGUUGGCGACAUUCCACGUCGUCGGUGCCGCAGCUAACGCAUUAAGUUCCCCGCCUGGGGGA
RNAcentral lists this ribosomal RNA (799 nucleotides) under Streptomyces sp. CUA-780. Its description in RNAcentral is "bacterial SSU rRNA". It matches the Rfam family "Bacterial small subunit ribosomal RNA", at positions 68 to 880 of the family's 1533-position model. The record is from RNAcentral. Lineage: Bacteria; Bacillati; Actinomycetota; Actinomycetes; Kitasatosporales; Streptomycetaceae.